This is a long non-coding RNA of Alligator mississippiensis (American alligator), 3388 nucleotides long. RefSeq lists it as uncharacterized. Lineage: Eukaryota; Metazoa; Chordata; Crocodylia; Alligatoridae. The transcript has 4 exons. The record is from RefSeq and is a predicted model, not a curated record.
UUUCUCCAUGCAGACCCUAAAGGUCUCCAGUGGUUACAGAGUAACCAGGACUUCACCAUUUGACAUAAAUCAAGCCACUGACAAGUUCUUGGCAAACUCUUUUUCUCUGUUUACCCCUAAAGGUAGGGAGAAAAAAUGUGACAAAACGAACAGAGUGGGAAGGGGGACUUUAAGCAACUCGCUCUAACGAACCAUUAAUCCUCAGAGAGAGCUGGGAUCUGGGUGGGGUUUGGAGACUCAGCCUUAGCUCAAUCCAGGGAGUACAAUAUUGAAGGAGGUGGGUGCUAAGCGGCAAGCUGUCUUCAGGAGAUGAGGCAAACGUUUUGGGUGAAGGUGUUGGUCAGAGGCUGGCUCCUGCUUUGAUAAGACACUCUGGACUUUCUGGAAAGGUUGGAAAAUGCUGAAUCCAUGAAUAUGACCACUCCUCAUUCUUGUGAGAGAGUGCUGGCUUAACAAGAUCUCUGGGAAACGCUGCUCAGCUCCAGGGUGGGAUUCCUGCCUGAAGUGCCUGAGAGCCAAGUGGUGUGGCAGUCAGGGCCACUGGUGGGGAGACUUGAAUCCAUGCCCCUGCUAUGGCUGCUGAAGACCAAGGUCUCGACCCCAGAGCCUGUUCCAUAAUAGCCAUCUGCCGUGCACUGAUGUCGUCAAAGCUGGACCCAGAAACCUGCAGCAGAAGCUUUGACAUUACAGCUAAUAAUGAGGACUCCAGUGCUCAUUAAAAAUAUAUUGAAGCAGAACAUUUUUAAAACAGACCUUCAGCUACUGGGAUCUAAGGAGCCAAGCACAGAUAGCAUCACCAGGGAGCUGCGUGGCAGAAUGGCACUUGGCACCAGUGUCCUGGAAUGAAUGCUGCUGCGGACAAACUGCAUUGCUUUGCACAGCACUUGCUUCCAACGACUGGAUAGAUUUCAGGCUAGAAGCCAGGGCUGUCUCAUGGCUGUUCAGGGACCUUUCUAAACCAGCCUGCCUGUGCUAGAGGGUUGCUAGUCUAGUGCUGAGCCUUUGACUCUGUGUCAGAGCCUAGAUCCAAACUCUUAUCUUGGGUGAUAAGUCCAUAGGAUUUCUGGGUAGCUUUGUUAUUCCUUACUGAAUAUCUGCCAUGGGGUGGAGUGUUUCUCCCCAUCUUCCUUCUCCUCCCCUUGAGAGGGAGGUGAUGUGAGGUUCCAUCAAUUAACUUCCUAAAAGCAUUUUUAAGAUGUUCAAACAGUAUCUGCAUAAUGUAGCAGAUGAGCAGCCAGGAGUCCUGGCUUCUGUUUCUAACUCUUGCACUGACCUGAAGUUUGAUCUUGGGCCAAAUCACUUCUUAUUUCUGAACAUUGGUUUCCUCAUCUAUGAAAUGAGAAUAGUUCUUCUAUAGCACUAUUUCUCCAUGUCCUUACUACCAUACCAGGGCACUUUUGGUCAGUUUUCAGAGGUGCCUGGUGGCUGAGGAGGCUUCACUGUUUGCAAGCUUAAGUCAUGAUCACCUGUUAGAGAUCAGGAGCUCAUCACUGUCUGAACAUCUGGCCCAUUUAAGUGGUCUUCAGUUGAGCACCCAUAGGAGGAGUCACCCAGAAUCCUUUUACUUCUGAAGAUUUUGGGUGUUAAAUGCCUGCUUAUCUUAGUCUGUCUUCUGGAAGCUAAACACUCCUUUCCCACAAAUGCCAUGAAGACUAAUGCUAUACAAAUGCAAGGAAGGGGAUGGGAUGCAAGCAGGGCAGCAGCUCCACAAUACCUGGCCUGUGGUUGAAGGCCUUUAAACCUGUGCAGUGUCUCACCUCGAUUCAACUUCUAUGAAUAGAGUCUGUCUCCAGAUUUUAAGAUAGGCCUAGACCUCAAGAACCUGUUUGGUUCUUCAAGCUGGGAACUGGGGGAGUAGGAAGGAGGGGAAGUGAGUUGGAUUUAUAAACUUGGCCUUAAUGAUACAGCCUCAAAGCCCUAAUUUACAAGUCAUUUGCCUAUAUAUAAUGCCGUUUUAAAAGACUCCAGGGCAACAUUUCACAUAGGUAAAUCAAAACUGUUUCCUUAGCAUUUAUUAGCAUGAUCUAUGGUCUUACAGCUUGCUAUUGGAAACAAUGGCUUGCAGCCCACUGAUGGCGUGGAUAGCUCAGCCCUAAAUAAUCCUUUCACAAACAGGUGCUCCACCACAUUCAAAUUCCUUAGAAAAUAAAUUACUGCUGGGUUUUUUUUUUUUAUUUGUAUUAUCAGGGGCCAGAAAUGUCAAAUCCUAGAACACUCCUUUCCUAAGGAGCUGAAAGCACUUUGAGCCCAAAUGACUCCUAACACUGCCACAUUGGGCCUCCCUGUGCAGCAGGGGAAACUGAGGUACAGUAGGAUGAAAUAACUCCUCUUGAGGUUGCACAGUAUACUGGUUGUAGAGGGCAAGGUGGAAUUAAGGAAUCCUUCCUGGAAGGGAGAUACAGAGAGCAGGGGAGUGAUGGAUACGAGUGUGAGUGGAGUAGUGACUACAGAGUCACACACAGGAAUGGGAUGAGGUCCCUGGCCUCUGCUGAGCUGACUGGAACUGCAGCACACUUACCCAUUAGCUGCAUAUUAAUGUAGCCUGUGGUGAGCAUUGCUAGAGGGGUCCUCCAGCUGCAAUAUGACAAAGUAGGCAGGGCUCCUAAAGGAAAGGGUAGGCAACAUUAUGUAAACUUUGCAUUAAGCCUCAAGUAAUUAUUUAAUCCUUACAUUGUCUGUGUUUAAUCUUUGGAUGGUCUCAUUCAUGGGCUCUUGUCAUCAAGCUAGGAGCUGAUGUAAUGCUUCAUCCCAGUGGUAUUUGAGUUCCCAAGAAGAUGGGAUUAUUGCUGUAUCUGAUUUGGUGUUUCCAGGGAUUUCUUUUCCCUCUUCACUCUCUAGUUUCAGUGAAGAGUUUUCUCUUCUCAAGCCAACAUGAGAUCUCUUCCCAUGAUAACCAUCUGACAUUCUAUGGAAAGACCCUUGGAUCUCAAAUUAGUUCAAUUUUUUAUGGCUCUGAAGCCCAGCCAAGCUGUAUAAUGCCAUUCCUACAGGGUAGCAUCACCUAGGUGUCUAUUCAUUCCUCAUGAUAUGGACUCACAAAUGCACUCUGGGAGUAAAACUAGGGCUCUGAUUUUGUAUCUGAUCAUCAUAGCUUCUGUAGCAGGUGACACAAAUGCCCUAAAUGCUAUAUAGUCUUCAGAUCAUGCUUCUAAUGACUCUUGAAUAACUUUGUCAGCAAAGCAGUGCAAGUAACUGACUUCUAGUUGGCAGGCAAUUUCAUCGUCCCUGUCCCUGUAACUUUCAAAAAUGUUGGUGAAUUGCAAAAGAGAGCUUACUCUGUCUUUUAACUAGGUCAAAUACAAACAGUCUAAAAGCCAACCAAACAAAUAAAAGUUUAAAGGGUUUUGUUUAAAUAAAAUCAAAAGCUUCCAAAUGAGAAGCAAACUCA